CAGGGUUUUAGCUGAGGUGCUACCAGACUAUUGGGGAUGGCGGAUAGGGGUAAAGGUGUUAAAAAUUGUUUUCAAGAAAAUAACUCAAAAAGUUUAUAUCCCUGUCAAACCCUAAGAAAUUCUGUUUCUUAUGAAGUAAGCAAGCAAUGAUAGUUAGGGUAAAUUUCGUCAAAAGGUCACAGGCACAAAAAAUGAAAUUACAAGUGGGUUUCAGACUAUAAAUCUCAAAAACUUUACAUUUUAUCAAAAGAAACUUGAUGAUAUGGUUAAAAUGUCUAGUAUGUAAGAAUUGUUAUAAUUUAC
This 303-nucleotide long non-coding RNA is filed under the name Mytilus galloprovincialis (Mediterranean mussel). Lineage: Eukaryota; Metazoa; Mollusca; Bivalvia; Mytilida; Mytilidae. The record is from RNAcentral.